Molecule: ribosomal RNA, 459 nt
Filed under: uncultured bacterium
Lineage: Bacteria
Description: partial 16S ribosomal RNA
Rfam family: Bacterial small subunit ribosomal RNA
Source: RNAcentral
CCUACGGGUGGCAGCAGUGAGGAAUAUUGGUCAAUGGACGAGAGUCUGAACCAGCCAAGUAGCGUGAAGGAUGACUGCCCUAUGGGUUGUAAACUUCUUUUAUAUGGGAAUAAAACGUUCCACGUGUGGGAUUUUGUAUGUACCAUAUGAAUAAGGAUCGGCUAACUCCGUGCCAGCAGCCGCGGUAAUACGGAGGAUCCGAGCGUUAUCCGGAUUUAUUGGGUUUAAAGGGAGCGUAGGUGGAUUGUUAAGUCAGUUGUGAAAGUUUGCGGCUCAACCGUAAAAUUGCAGUUGAAACUGGCAGUCUUGAGGACAGUAGAGGUGGGCGGAAUUCGGGGUGUAGCGGUGAAAUGCUUAGAUAUCACGAAGAACUCCGAUUGCGAAGGCAGUUCACUGGACUGCAACUGACACUGAGGCUCGAAAGUGUGGGUAUCAAACAGGAUUAGAUACCCCGGUAGU